This is an RNA transcript of Drosophila simulans, 1071 nucleotides long. RefSeq lists it as uncharacterized. The transcript has 3 exons. The record is from RefSeq and is a predicted model, not a curated record. NCBI's taxonomy places the organism in Eukaryota, Metazoa, Arthropoda, Insecta, Diptera, Drosophilidae.
GGGAUGAAAUUGCAUAUUGGUUUAGUUCUUUUUAUAAUUUUCUUAAUUCCUUCCUUAUUUAUUUCUUUACGAUUUUGGUUAUAGACUUUGCCAUGUUCUUCAAAAUAAGUAUCUUUUUCGUUGUGAUCGAGUUGAUAUUCGUUAUUAUCUGGGUAGGGUAUUAUGUUAAUGGUGUGAACGGUUUUUUGUUUAAUAGGGAUGUGUGCUAUGAUAAGUAUUUGAUUGGUACUAAUUAAAUAUUUAAACGCAGAUCCUACUAUGUUGAUUAGUCCUCGUUUCUGCCUGUUUGUCUGGUGUAAAGUUAUUCCGCUAAGUUCUCUUCGCAUUUUAUUGUAUAAAAGGUCAAUUUGGGGAAUGUUAGUGUAUUUAGUUAUUUUAUUGUUGAAAUAGUGAGUUAGGUUAUCUAUAUCGGAAAGGUUUACGCGAAGACAAUGAUGUUCAUAUUCUGACGGGACUUGAAUUGUUUUAUCGGAAAAUAAGAGGUAUCCAUGCUUCUUCGAGGAAAUGUCGAAUGUUACCUCGAUAUUGUAUAUUCCUGAAUUCUUCCAGAAGUUGGUGGUUCGGUGCUUGGGGCUUGUAGUUAAGUAUAAGCUGAGUCCUGAGUUCGCUCCAGCUGCUGAGAGCCAAGAUGAAGUCGACGCGACUGAUGAAAGUGUACAAAGUGUUGGGAUCUCCGUUGAAAACCUCGAUUGCGUGUAUUUGUCUUUCUACUUGAACCAUGUUUGAGUCAGACAAUUCUAUUUGUGCUGGUGCUGCUACGGCCAUCGUGGUUUGUUGGUUUGAAUUUUUUUUGUUAGUGUCUUUAUUUAGGUUUGUGAUUUGGAUAGAAUUUGUGUUCUAACUAAUGGUUUGUGUCUUUGCUUAUUGCUUUUCGUAUUCAAAGUAGGCACAUAAAAGCACGGUGCUAUCAUAAAGAAUGAGCCGAUAAAACAAGAGGCACGCUUACAGUUAGCUCUGAAAACAGAAAUUGCUCACAAGCAACGGUGGGCGCGAAAGGGUUAAUUUCCACUUAUUUUCACUGUUAUUAUUAUUGUUCACUUAUUUGUGGUUAAGUUUAUUUGGUUUUCACUU